RNAcentral lists this ribosomal RNA (496 nucleotides) under uncultured bacterium. RNAcentral describes it as "partial 16S ribosomal RNA". It matches the Rfam family "Bacterial small subunit ribosomal RNA", at positions 28 to 506 of the family's 1533-position model. The record is from RNAcentral.
GAUGAACGCUGGCGGCGUGCCUAAUACAUGCAAGUCGAGCGAACAGACGAGGAGCUUGCUCCUCUGACGUUAGCGGCGGACGGGUGAGUAACACGUGGAUAACCUACCUAUAAGACUGGGAUAACUUCGGGAAACCGGAGCUAAUACCGGAUAAUAUAUUGAACCGCAUGGUUCAAUAGUGAAAGACGGUUUUGCUGUCACUUAUAGAUGGAUCCGCGCCGCAUUAGCUAGUUGGUAAGGUAACGGCUUACCAAGGCAACGAUGCGUAGCCGACCUGAGAGGGUGAUCGGCCACACUGGAACUGAGACACGGUCCAGACUCCUACGGGAGGCAGCAGUAGGGAAUCUUCCGCAAUGGGCGAAAGCCUGACGGAGCAACGCGGCGUGAGUGAUGAAGGUCUUCGGAUCGUAAAACUCUGUUAUUAGGGAAGAACAAAUGUGUAAGUAACUAUGCACGUCUGGACAGUACCUAAUCAGAAAGCCACGGCUAACUACGU